Molecule: non-coding RNA, 3124 nt
Organism: Paramisgurnus dabryanus
Lineage: Eukaryota; Metazoa; Chordata; Actinopteri; Cypriniformes; Cobitidae
Source: RefSeq, a predicted model, not a curated record
UGGAGGACACCGGGCGCUUCCCUUGUUGUGUUGCACUUAUAGUGUGGUGAGUGAGACUUGCAAUUAAUAAGCUUUUCACGUUUGGAGUGGUGCUGUGUAUUUGCUGUGGGUUGCUGUGUGUCUUAUUAGACGAAGCCCCGCAUCAUCCAUUUCUUCUACUGGGCAGAGGACGGAGAGGCUAACGACCUCCGAAAUUACUGUUACCAUACGUAGUGUGCUGUUUCGGAGUACGAAGGAACGCAGACCAAGAGCUGUCAGUGACUGUGAGUAGAACAUUGGAAAUAUUCGUGGUGUAAACUUACCUGUGUCUGUUUUGUCGCAGAGUCAGAGGCGAAAGGGUCCGCCGCCCCCGCGGUCUCUACAAAGGGGCGCCCCUGUCCAGGAUUCGAUCGGCCUACGGGCAGUGGAGAUAGGGCAGCGCUCGACCCGGUGAGGUGGUGUGUGACCUUCGCCCCUCUGCUGACCUACGGAGGAAACCAUACCUACCCAGAAAGCUGUAAACAGCAGAGCCGCGGCCACCUGUGGAGAGAGAGAAGAACGAGAGUGAAUAAUUGAAGAACAGACCGUGAACGUGAUACCUACCCAGAAAGCUGUAAACAGCAGAGCCGGUGAGAAAUACUCGAAGUCUCAGUAACAGUGUCUUUGUGUCCUAGCGGCCACCUGUGGAGAGAGAGAAGGACGAGAGUGAAUAAUUGGAGAGCAGACUGUGAACGUGAUACCUACCCAGAGAGCUGUAAGCAGCAGAGCCGGUGAGAAAUACUCGAAGUCCAAGUAACAGUGUCUUUGUGUCUUAGUGGCCGCCUGUGGAGAGAAAGGAAAACGAGAAUGAACAUGAGGAGAGUGGACUGUGUGAAGAUACAGUUGGUGGUGGAGGAGAGCCUAGAGUGGCCAUUAUUUUAAGUCCCCCGUUUUCCCUUCCCUAUAUAUCUUUUUAAGUAAAUUAAAUAAAGUACCUUUUUAAUAUUAUGCUUACCUUGUGUGUCUGGUCAUUGGGGUGGCUUUGGGAAUCUCCUCGAGGUGGAGAAAGGGGCGUGACCUUAUUUACAUCUGGGUCCACCCCUACCUGUGACAGAUUUGGCGUAGUCGGCAGGGCACCUCGGGUUGAGACCAAGGUCCCCCAAUGGCCUACCACGUUUUUUUUAAAGAAAAGCUCCCAUCAACACCCUAUCAGUCCCUAAACAACGCGUUCUCGGGACGAGAACGGAUUGGCGGGGGAGGAUGUCACAAGGUGACGAUCUUUUGGGCGGAACCAAAAGUCGGGAAACUUUGGUUCCGCCCGGAUGUUUCCGCCCAGACCGAAGAACGGAAACACCGGACAUCCGGCAGCUUCGCGAAGGCUGUAAUCAGCCGAUUGAGCACAGCUGUGCCUAGUUAAAGAGAUCGCCGGGCAAUUGGACAACUGGAGUACAUGAAGGAGUAUUUAAAGCACAGUUAAAUCACAGUUCGGGGGUUCGGGCACGAGAGGGGGAUUGACACGGGGAAAGCUCCUCUGCUUAAUGCAGAAAAAGAACUACGUACCUUUUGAAGAGCCCGCAGGCUCUGUUGAUCCGGGCUGCGCUUGGAGCGCGCGGAAAGAAGACAGGAGCUGCCUGGGGUGAAAGAAAGGCGAUACGUGGGUGGAGAAAAGGAGCACCCCGAAGAGAGCAUUGUGCUGACAGUUCGUAGUGUGUGCUGAGGAACGGAGCUGUGCUCAUUGUUAGACGUGGUGGCUGUCUGUAUUUCUCUCUCUCUCCCUCUCUCGUUGUAGUUUACGGUGGACCUGCUGGAGUAAACGGAAGAUCCUAUGGGUAAAAAGGAACUUUGGUCUAACCAGUACUUUUGAAGGAGUAAAGCAGGAAGAAAAUUGAUCUUGUUGUACAACGUAAACAGAGGCUAUUUGCUGUGAGUAUACCCUUUUGGUGUGGAGUAACUUGCAAAAAUUAACCUGUGAACCGUUGGAAACCUCCAGGAGAAGGAGGGCGGCCCUACCCCUACAAUAGUGUGGUGGGCGAGCCGUUAGAAGGUAAAUCCAAACAGCCACAGCAACGAGACUUAUUUUGGUCGUAUUUCCCAUCGCCCCUAUCUCAGCCCAAGUGCAGUGGAGGACACCGGGCGCUUCCCUUGUUGUGUUGCACUUAUAGUGUGGUGAGUGAGACUUGCAAUUAAUAAGCUUUUCACGUUUGGAGUGGUGCUGUGUAUUUGCUGUGGGUUGCUGUGUGUCUUAUUAGACGAAGCCCCGCAUCAUCCAUUUCUUCUACUGGGCAGAGGACGGAGAGGCUAACGACCUCCGAAAUUACUGUUACCAUACGUAGUGUGCUGUUUCGGAGUACGAAGGAACGCAGACCAAGAGCUGUCAGUGACUGUGAGUAGAACAUUGGAAAUAUUCGUGGUGUAAACUUACCUGUGUCUGUUUUGUCGCAGAGUCAGAGGCGAAAGGGUCCGCCGCCCCCGCGGUCUCUACAAAGGGGCGCCCCUGUCCAGGAUUCGAUCGGCCUACGGGCAGUGGAGAUAGGGCAGCGCUCGACCCGGUGAGGUGGUGUGUGACCUUCGCCCCUCUGCUGACCUACGGAGGAAACCAUACCUACCCAGAAAGCUGUAAACAGCAGAGCCGCGGCCACCUGUGGAGAGAGAGAAGAACGAGAGUGAAUAAUUGAAGAACAGACCGUGAACGUGAUACCUACCCAGAAAGCUGUAAACAGCAGAGCCGGUGAGAAAUACUCGAAGUCUCAGUAACAGUGUCUUUGUGUCCUAGCGGCCACCUGUGGAGAGAGAGAAGGACGAGAGUGAAUAAUUGGAGAGCAGACUGUGAACGUGAUACCUACCCAGAGAGCUGUAAGCAGCAGAGCCGGUGAGAAAUACUCGAAGUCCAAGUAACAGUGUCUUUGUGUCUUAGUGGCCGCCUGUGGAGAGAAAGGAAAACGAGAAUGAACAUGAGGAGAGUGGACUGUGUGAAGAUACAGUUGGUGGUGGAGGAGAGCCUAGAGUGGCCAUUAUUUUAAGUCCCCCGUUUUCCCUUCCCUAUAUAUCUUUUUAAGUAAAUUAAAUAAAGUACCUUUUUAAUAUUAUGCUUACCUUGUGUGUCUGGUCAUUGGGGUGGCUUUGGGAAUCUCCUCGAGGUGGAGAAAGGGGCGUGACCUUAUUUACA